AUCAUUUGCAGUUUUGACUGAUUGUGACUAUUGCCGUGAUGAUUGGGUUCUCACAUGUGAGUUGUGUGAGAUGUACUUCCUUCAAACCCUGUUACAACAUCCACACAUACCGUGUCUGUCA
Molecule: small nucleolar RNA, 121 nt
Organism: Papio anubis (olive baboon)
Lineage: Eukaryota; Metazoa; Chordata; Mammalia; Primates; Cercopithecidae
Source: Ensembl